AGCCGACAGUUGCUCGUCUUGCGGCGCGAAGACGAAGGCGAGCACCAGGACGAGGAAGCUCGCUGGUUCCGAGCAGAUGACCCAUUUUUGGCUUUGUCCUCCGGGAGGGGGGAAGGGAGCCGCGCGGAGGAGGGGGGAGGGGGGCGGGGGCUGGCUGCCACACGCCCCCUCUUCUUUUCCACCACUCGAGUGUGUCUUUUGGAUUCCAUUUGGCUUCGUCUAUUCCGAAACGUCAUUUCUAAAAAUGGAACCCUUAUUUCGGACGCAUUCCGAUUUGAGUCAUCAUAUGGGAGCUUUUUUUUUUUUUUUUCUUAUUUGUAUUUUGGUUAUUUUAAUUUGAAUCGGCAUUUCGCUUUGCUUUUUCAUCUCUUGUUGGAAUCAUCGCUUUGGCUUUUAUUCUUUUUUUCGUCAAUCGGUUAGAAAUUCAGAUUUCACAUGGUCUCGUUUGUAUUUCCCUUAACCUACGUUCAUCAUGAUUUGAUUCCGAUUUCGGAGCUCUUGUUUCAGGCAUUCUUUUUGUUUCUUUUUCCAGCUAUUUUGAUGAGGAUCAUUUUUGUUUGAAACGCACCUAUACCGUUCAAGUAAAACAAUGCACCUCCUCAUCGGAACUUGCAAGGGACGAAAUGACUCCCGAGUGCAAAAACAACGCCGUCGCCGAUGGCGCAGCGUGCGCGCGGAGCGAGGGAUCGGCUCCCGCUCGGUGACGGUGUGGCUGCGAAUGGCUGUGCGUCUCUCCUUGCGCCCCGCGACCGACCGGCGAGCAGUUCAGGGUGUGAAGCCCCUUUGGCCCCAAGUCAGCUGGGAAAAGCUCCGGCGGCCCCCGCGACUCUUUUCAGCGCUGUGGAAAAUGAACACAUUGCAGAAUAAAGAGCCGAAUGCAAAUUAAAUAUCGAAAUAUAAAAUUGAUUUAAUGCACGCAAUGUUUUUUUUUUUUUGGAAACACUACGUGGCACAGUACAGAAGACAUGCAUGCACUUUUUCAUUGGCGCUUAUUCAGGUUGAGGCAAA
Molecule: long non-coding RNA, 1008 nt
Organism: Hippocampus comes (tiger tail seahorse)
Lineage: Eukaryota; Metazoa; Chordata; Actinopteri; Syngnathiformes; Syngnathidae
Exons: 2
Source: RefSeq, a predicted model, not a curated record